This is a long non-coding RNA of Cyanistes caeruleus (blue tit), 4040 nucleotides long. RefSeq lists it as uncharacterized. NCBI's taxonomy places the organism in Eukaryota, Metazoa, Chordata, Aves, Passeriformes, Paridae. The record is from RefSeq and is a predicted model, not a curated record.
UGCAAUGAUUUCAUACUCAAUUCUCAUACUUCAACAUUUAGUUUCCUGAGGUCUCACGCACCUGGUCCCAACUACCUGCUAGUUAAACUACACUACCUAACACUAACUGCUCCCACCUGGGAGCCAAAAACUGUCUUUCAGUGAUGCCUUUGGGUCACAUGUGAGACUGAAAUCCCUGGUUGCUCCAUUUUCCUGCUUUUAAUCUCGAAGGUUUACUUUGCCUCUUUUCAUCACUGGUUUCUAGGGACUGAUUUAAAAUGGUAUGAAAAGGGCAGAUUUUCCUAAGAGGGAGGUUUUCUUGAAGCCUAGGUAUCUGUGGCCAUUCUUGUCAAAGAAAUGGCUGUAUGGUUGCAGAAGAAUAUGUAGUAGGAGGUCCAGCAAAACAUGGGUGUGAUACCCUCUGAUUCAUAUCCCUGAUGACCAUCUCCUGCCUGAAGCACAAAGACCCUGCCAGGAGGGAAAAUGACCACAGACCUAGCAGUGUGAUAAUUUAACUUGUUCUCAACACUGUGACUUCUGUGAUGAAUGACUCUCUCAUCCUGCUGUAUCCACUUGAAUAAUGAUGGUGAACUUGAGACACCUCAGUGCACAAUACUGUCAAGUCAAGAAGUAUAAGUCCACGGAAGAGCUAUUGAAAUAAAUACAGUAGGGACUGUGAUUUAAGAGGACCCUUACUUUUAUGACAGGCAAGGAGCAACUGAAAAGAGAUCUGCUGAUGGCCAUCUACUUGUGGCAGCUGUUUAUUAUGAUCUGUCAUAAACAUCUUGCUGUUACCUUGUGCUCACCCAUCUGUUUGUUUCUGCCCAUCUGUUACUGGUUGCCAUGUGCUUAAGUUGUAAAUAUCACUAUUGUUUGAAAUAAAAAGGUUAAAAAUCCUUUGAUUUAAAAAAAAAAAUCAGUUAUUGAAUUCAGUAUUUGCAUUUAGAAAAAAAAAAGCUCUUACAAGCCUCUGGAGUCAACAUUGAGGAAACUCUCAGGUACAGGUUUUCUAUGCUCCUGGAUAACUUCCUGUGGUUACCCUUUCUGAUGAGGUUGAAGCAUUUAAUUAAGUUGAUUUUUGUUGUAAGAUUUCAAUUUGCUUUUAGUCAAUAACAAGGGCUAGUUCAGGAGGAAAUUUUGUUUUUUGAAGUCAGAGGAUUGUGUGCAAAUGAAAGAGGCAAAUUGCCUGCAGGAAGCCAAUCAACUUGUGCUCUGUAUAUGUCACUUCAGCUUCUGCUGGAGUUUUUUAUUCCCAGACUAGCAAAUUUAUAUUUGGCAUGCACUGUCAUCCUUAUUCUAUAGGUUUCUUCUCAUCAAAUAUUUGUGAUGGCUUUUUUUUUUUUUUUUUUUGUCUCCCUAAACUAUAAUAUGUGCUUUUGGCAUUUGAGUCUUUGCCAUUGUUACUUAAUAUGACAACAGCCACAUUUAAUUUCUUUUGGAAUGUUUUAAGAAAUGUUUUUUCUAUGUAUUUUUUUUUUUAAUAAAAUCUGUAUUUAGUAACUACUUCUCUCUCAAAACAUAACUAUCAUGCUAGCUACUUCAGCAUUAUUCACCAUUUUAUGCCAGUCUAUUGCAAUGGUCAAUUCGGAGACAUGCAGUGCUUUUGGGGUUUAUAUUUUUUUUCUUUUUUGAAAGAAGGGUCAUCCACAAUGUUCUUCAACCUAAGGGAUCUAAAAAUCAUUGGCUUUCUUUACUUAUUUUAACACGUAUUUUCAUAUUGCUGUUAAUUUUCCUUUUGUAUUUCUCUUUUGGUUUUGUUUUUCUUUUUUUAAUAGUGAAAUAAUAUUGCUACACAGGAACAACUAAAGAAAUACUGACACAUACAUGCCAAUAAUGACCAGCUCUGAACUACAAUAUUGGUAUAGGGUUUUUUUUUUUCCUUUUGUAGUGUUAGACUAACGCUAUAUCAAUGUGUACCCUCCUCUAAGGAUGGUUAGGUUGCACUUCGGUUGACAUCAAGUGGGCCUGGGGCAUAGACCUGUGAUGCUGAGACCCUACCUGAAGUUCUAAAAAUGCAUGUGGAAUUUCAUCCUUGGACUGAAUAGAAUUUAAUUUCAUACAUAUUUGGUUUUGCACUGCUUUUUUGCCAUUUUGACAAAGAUUUUUAGGAUUUGUCUUGUAGCUUUGUGUAGAAAUACAGGAAGAAAAUAUUUAAUAUUAUCAAUUAAUUUGUCCUGACUGUGCUAUACUAUGCUCUGUACAUUCAGAGAAAUGUUUCCAUUUUGCUUUUAAACUUGACUGCAGCUGUUGACAAUCUUUUACAAAAACUGCGCAUUUCCUCUCUAAACCGCCUUCAUUCUUGCCAAGCACUUCAAAACAAAGUAAUUUUGUAUUUUAUGUUAUUCUAGGAGCCCAUGAAUUUCACUUGCUAAAACAAUUUGAAAAUCCAGUUUACAAAGAGCUUUUACUUUUUCCUUACCGUUUUUCCCCCUCAUGUCUGAAAACAACUUCGAUUAUAUAUGCAUGUCUUUUAUUCCUCCUCCAUUGUACUCAAAUAGUGUUUUUUCUAAGUACCUCAUUCCAAAGUCAGAAUUUCUAGGAACUGAUGCAGACCCUUCUGACAUUAAGAGGAUCUUUUUUCAGUGGGUUUUAGUUCAUCUCUAUGGAUUAUGAAUUAUUAGGGAUGGACCUAGCUUCUAGAUAUAAAAAGUAUUUUUAUACCUCAGUGCAAAGAGACUGGCUCUGACUGAGGACCUUAAUGUGUCCUGUCAAUUAAAAAAAAAGAUAAAAAAGGUAUAUUUACCCAUUAUAAAAGUUGAUAUUGUCCAACUGUCCUUCAUAUUGUUUUGCUAUAUUUUUCAAAAGUACUAUGGUGGUUUUAUUACAGUGUUCUAUUCUAACUUUGCUGUCCCCUUUUCUCUGAUCUGCUCUCUUGAUUUAGGGAAAAAAAAACACUUUAGUCUUGGUUAGUCUUUCCUGCCAACCAGAGAAAUAUUGGGAGCUAGAUUUAGAUCCAAUGCUAUCAAAAUACUCCACUGAUUGUUAAAACAAUAUCUUGGUGAAACUAGAUAUGAAGUCUUCCUUAGGAACAUGAACUCUUCCUUAGGUAGCAAUCACUGUUAUUGCUGUGUUUAAAUGUAAAGGCUUAGGAAACAGUGCCAGAACUGGUACAGCUUUAUUUGAGGGUUUUUUUGGAUAGAGGAAAAGCAACACAUGGUCCUGGUGGUUCAUGCUCAUGGCUUUAGAAAACCAGUAUUUCAGUUGUUCAGGCUUCAGUUAUUUUCAGUUCCUUAUUUUGAAGUAACACUGAUAAUGAAAAUUCUAUAAAGCAGUUGGAGAUGUCAAAAGAUGAAAAAGGUCAAGGACUCCAGCUCAUAACCAUUUGCAUUGGCCUCUUCAGUCCUCUUCUGAGAGAUACAAUUACAGUUUCAAUAUCUCUUAACCUCUAACAGCUAUUUAAGGAGCUUUCCUUUCAGAGACCAGAGGAGUUCAGAAAUUUGUAAGCCACACUGGCAUCUCCAAUAGCUCAAUACUAGAAUUUGAUGGGGUUGGUUGGCGGGGAGGUAUUGGGUUGGGAGUUUUUGUUGGUUGGUUGGUUUGUUUGUAGGUUUUUGUGGGAGGUUUUCCAGGUUUGGGGGGUGUUUUUUGGGGGGUUUCUUUGGUUAAACUUCAUUGUGUCUUUUCAGAAAAAAACUGUGCCAAGGAAUUAGUUCCUGCUUAAGAGGAGUAGCUGUAGGAAGUAGUGCAAACAUGCAAUACUGGAAUUUGUCCAUAUCCUUCUCAGACGAAUCCCUGUGUUGGAGUAACCUGGGGGCUUCUGUGAGAUAUUUCAUUUUGAUUCUUUCCAUUAUCUGUGUAGCUUCACUGGAAGCAUAAGACAGCAUGCUUGUGCUUCAGAUAGCAGGCACAGAAACUGUGUCAUCUAACUGCAACUUCGAUAAUGCUUUGAUGUAUUGUGUCUAUAAUGCAUUUAUCUCUGCUCACUGAAUAAUAUAGACAAUAGUUUGAAUAUGUGCAUUUGUGUUUAUUGUAAUUUUUUAAAGGAAUUCACCAAGAUGUUUUGUAGUCAGUGCUGCCAUUAAAAUUAGAUCAGUUGAUGAUUUUCUUCUGUUAAGCUUUUC